Molecule: ribosomal RNA, 484 nt
Filed under: uncultured bacterium
Lineage: Bacteria
Description: partial 16S ribosomal RNA
Rfam family: Bacterial small subunit ribosomal RNA
Source: RNAcentral
AUUGAACGCUGGCCGCAGGCCUAACACAUGCAAGUCGAGCGGAUGAAGGGAGCUUGCUCCUGGAUUCGGCGGCGGACGGGUGAGUAAUGCCUAGGAAUCUGCCUGGUAGUGGGGGAUAACGUCCGGAAACGGGCGCUAAUACCGCAUACGUCCUGAGGGAGAAAGUGGGGGAUCUUCGGACCUCACGCUAUCAGAUGAGCCUAGGUCGGAUUAGCUAGUUGGUGGGGUAAAGGCCUACCAAGGCGACGAUCCGUAACUGGUCUGAGAGGAUGAUCAGUCACACUGGAACUGAGACACGGUCCAGACUCCUACGGGAGGCAGCAGUGGGGAAUAUUGGACAAUGGGCGAAAGCCUGAUCCAGCCAUGCCGCGUGUGUGAAGAAGGUCUUCGGAUUGUAAGGCACUUUAAGUUGGGAGGAAGGGCAGUAAGUUAAUACCUUGCUGUUUUGACGUUACCAACAGAAUAAGCACCGGCUAACUUCGUG